RNAcentral lists this ribosomal RNA (434 nucleotides) under uncultured Lachnospiraceae bacterium. RNAcentral's name for it is "bacterial SSU rRNA". It matches the Rfam family "Bacterial small subunit ribosomal RNA", at positions 341 to 792 of the family's 1533-position model. The record is from RNAcentral. RNAcentral also lists the same sequence under 1 other name. Lineage: Bacteria; Bacillati; Bacillota; Clostridia; Lachnospirales; Lachnospiraceae.
ACGGAAGGCAGCAGUGGGGAAUAUUGCACAAUGGGGGAAACCCUGAUGCAGCGACGCCGCGUGAGUGAUGAAGUAUUUCGGUAUGUAAAGCUCUAUCAGCAGGGAAGAUAAUGACGGUACCUGACUAAGAAGCACCGGCUAAAUACGUGCCAGCAGCCGCGGUAAUACGUAUGGUGCAAGCGUUAUCCGGAUUUACUGGGUGUAAAGGGAGCGUAGGCGGUACGGCAAGUCUGAAGUGAAAUCCCAGGGCUCAACCUUGGAACUGCUUUGGAAACUGUCGAACUAGAGUGUCGGAGAGGUAAGUGGAAUUUCUAGUGUAGCGGUGAAAUGCGUAGAUAUUAGGAGGAACACCAGUGGCGAAGGCGGCUUGCUGGACGACAACUGACGCUGAGGCGCGAAAGCGUGGGGAGCAAACAGGAUUAGAUACCCUGGUA